This is a non-coding RNA of Pseudomonas sp. EGD-AK9, 72 nucleotides long. The record is from Rfam. Lineage: Bacteria; Pseudomonadati; Pseudomonadota; Gammaproteobacteria; Pseudomonadales; Pseudomonadaceae.
CCUCGGCGAUCCCACCGCCUGCCCGAUUCCCGGCCACGGCACCAACCCGAUCGCCGCCGGCUCGCCCGACGU